UCGGUCGAAGCGUAAAUUCAAUUUAAUUUAGUCGCCUUCCUAACACUCAGAGCAAGUUUCAGGAUGAAUUUCGUGAUAUAACUGCGCAUUUCCGUUGUAUAAAUUAUUACGGUAAUCAGCCUCACUGUGUGCCGUCAAGAGUCUUGAAUUUCAAGGAAAGUCAUUACAUUUAGGACUUCAACAGCAUCAAUUUAUCAUCUACAAUGGCAGUUUUGGUGAAAACCUGUUGUUUCGGCUGCAGUCUUCGUACAGGUGUUACGAUUCUCGCAAUCUUGGACAUGUUUGCAUCAGUAUAUUUCAUUUCUCAUGAAAGUUGGCAAUCUAUUAAACUUUAUAAACAUCUGGAAGAGAACGCCGAUGACCCAAGCCAAGAUUUGCCUUUCAGCAAAAUGCAUUUUCUCGCGAUCAAAAGACUGAGUUAUGUAAACCUCGCAUUCAAAGUGAUCUCACUUUUGGGGAACCUGUUGCUUCUGGCAUCCUGUAGCUCAG
Molecule: long non-coding RNA, 489 nt
Organism: Stylophora pistillata
Lineage: Eukaryota; Metazoa; Cnidaria; Anthozoa; Scleractinia; Pocilloporidae
Source: RefSeq, a predicted model, not a curated record